AAUGAUGAACAACAUGGGACUUAAUACUGAUAUGUGAUGUCUCUUUUAUAUUCUGA
RNAcentral lists this small nucleolar RNA (56 nucleotides) under Cynoglossus semilaevis (tongue sole). RNAcentral describes it as "Small nucleolar RNA SNORD82 (ENSCSEG00000015135.1)". Lineage: Eukaryota; Metazoa; Chordata; Actinopteri; Pleuronectiformes; Cynoglossidae. The record is from RNAcentral.